CUUUUCAUUAAAAUAACCAAUAUUAUAUUAUAUAGUUACUGGCAUGGCAAUAAAAUCAAACAAUCAAUUUAACAUUUAAAAGCUUUAACUUAACUUUAACUUGUUUUUUUUUUUGUUGUUGUUGUUGUUUGUUUUUUUUGUUUUUUGUUUUUUUUUUCAAAUUUUAUCAGAUUUCACAAGACUUCAGGAAGCUACAUCCAGAGGCAGACUUUUUGAAGACUGGGCUACAAUUGCAGACCAAGUUGUUGCUUAUGCCCAGCAAGAUGGAAAGGUGCAUUAAGAGCUGGGUGACAUGACUUCAGAUGCUAUAGGGGAGAGUGCUUUCAAAGUCCUGCCCAUUCUGGAGGAAGGGUCCACAGAACCACAACCACAGAAUUCUGGAAGCUAUUCAUUGACAUACAACCUGUGGGGACCAGCAUGGUGGAUUUGUGUCUUGGGGACGAGACAACGACAUCUCAGACCUUCACCAUUUUUUUCGGGCCAUGCCACUGAAGCGGACUCGUUGCCAGGGAAUGUCUCCGGCUUGCAGUAUAUUAUAUUGAUGGACAAGUCUUCAUGUGUGAAUUUUUUAAGGCAAACAGUUUUUUCUGGCCACUUGUAACAUGUUUUAAAUUGUCAUAUGUAUUGUCUGGUGGACACUUUGUUUGGCUUAGUUUUAAUAGCACAAUGUUUGGAACGAAUUUCAUGUGGCAAUAAUUAAUUUUUGAGUGUUCUGCUGCUACAAUGUUGACAAAGAAUGGGAAUCUACAGUGCCUAGUUUACACAGUUUUGUGUUUUAAAUUAACUGAUCUACUGAAGUUGUUGUUUUAUGUGUCUGUAAUGGUUGGAUAAAAUGUG
This is a long non-coding RNA of Labeo rohita (rohu), 837 nucleotides long. RefSeq lists it as uncharacterized. The transcript has 3 exons. Lineage: Eukaryota; Metazoa; Chordata; Actinopteri; Cypriniformes; Cyprinidae. The record is from RefSeq and is a predicted model, not a curated record.